This 814-nucleotide ribosomal RNA is filed under the name uncultured Dysgonomonas sp. RNAcentral's name for it is "bacterial SSU rRNA". It matches the Rfam family "Bacterial small subunit ribosomal RNA", at positions 684 to 1510 of the family's 1533-position model. The record is from RNAcentral. Lineage: Bacteria; Pseudomonadati; Bacteroidota; Bacteroidia; Bacteroidales; Dysgonomonadaceae.
AAAUGCAUAGAUAUAACGAGGAACCCCAAUUGCGUAGGCAGCUUACUAAACUAUAACUGACGCUCAAGCACGAAAGCGUGGGUAUCAAACAGGAUUAGAUACCCUGGUAGUCCACGCAGUAAACGAUGAUUACUAGUUGUUUGCGAUAUACCGCAAGUGACCAAGCGAAAGCGAUAAGUAAUCCACCUGGGGAGUACGCCGGCAACGGUGAAACUCAAAGGAAUUGACGGGGGCCCGCACAAGCGGAGGAACAUGUGGUUUAAUUCGAUGAUACGCGAGGAACCUUACCCGGGCUUGAAAUGCAUCUGGCCUAUCUGGAAACAGAUACUCUAGCAAUAGCAGAUGCGUAGGUGCUGCAUGGUUGUCGUCAGCUCGUGCCGUGAGGUGUCGGCUUAAGUGCCAUAACGAGCGCAACCCACAUUGUUAGUUACUAACAGAUCACGCUGAGGACUCUAACAAGACUGCCGGCGUAAGCCGCGAGGAAGGUGUGGAUGACGUCAAAUCAGCACGGCCCUUACGUCCGGGGCGACACACGUGUUACAAUGGGAGGGACAAAAGGCCGCUACUUGGUGACAAGAUGCCAAUCCCCAAACCCUCUCCCAGUUCGGAUCGGAGUCUGCAACUCGACUCCGUGAAGCUGGAUUCGCUAGUAAUCGCGCAUCAGCCAUGGCGCGGUGAAUACGUUCCCGGGCCUUGUACACACCGCCCGUCAAGCCAUGGAAGUUGGGAGUAUCUGAAGCACGUAACCGCAAGGAGCGUUCUAGGGUAAAACCGAUGACUGGGGCUAAGUCGUAACAAGGUAACCUAAAUCGAA